AAAAAGAGAACUUCAGUUGAAAGCAAAAAAGACUUACUUUUUGCAAAUCCUUAGUAAUUUUGCCAUCAAAUAGAAGAUGGCAGCAUUGUCUAUGACCUGGUCUUGCUCUCCCUUAACCUCCUCAAAAUUUCGGCGAGUCAAUCGAUAUUCAGGAAUGGCAUUUGCAAGUGUGAAAUCUACUGAAGGGUUGGGGAAUUUACCCAAGGUCGUUUUGACUUCUCCUCAUGGAAGUGAGGCUGAGCUAUAUCUAUUUGGAGCUUGUGUCACAUCUUGGAAAGUAGACAGUAAAGAUCUACUUUUUGUUCGACCAGAUGCUGUAUUCAAUGGUCAGAAACCAAUCAGUGGAGGAAUACCACAUUGUUUCCCACAAUUUGGACCUGGCCCAAUCCAGCAGCACGGAUUUGGAAGGAACAUGAAUUGGUCCCUUGUUAGCUCUGAAAGUGUGAAGGAGAAACCUGUUGUUACUGUGGAGCUAAGGGAUGGGCCUUAUAGCCGUGCAAUGUGGGACUAUAGUUUCCAUGCUCUUUACAAGAUCACUCUUGAUAAGAAGACCCUGUCAACAGAACUCACAGUUAAAAAUACUGACAACAAGCCAUUUUCAUUCACUACUGCACUGCAUACUUACUUCAGCGCUUCUGUAACAGGUGCAUCAGUUAAUGGUUUAAAAGGUUGCAAAACUCUAAACAAGGUUCCUGAUCCCACAAACCCUGUCGAGGGAAAAGAGGAAAGAGAUGUGGUGACAUUUCCUGGAUUUGUGGACUGUGUUUAUCUUGAUGCACCUAAUGAGUUACACCUAGAUAAUGGCUUGGGUGAUAAGAUAUCUAUCAAAAACACCAAUUGGUCUGAUG
Molecule: unclassified non-coding RNA, 848 nt
Filed under: Hevea brasiliensis (rubber tree)
Lineage: Eukaryota; Viridiplantae; Streptophyta; Magnoliopsida; Malpighiales; Euphorbiaceae
Source: RNAcentral